UGGCGUCACAAAACGGCUGUGCUCUCAGUGACGUCACGGGGAUUUCACAGUGAGGAAGAUGUUCGUCUGCUGUGUUGCUGUCCAUUUGUCUGCACAUCCCAGCAUCCAGAAUUUAUAAUUAAGCAAUCAUUCAAAAUUCUUGCAAGCUUGAAGAAAAGCACUUGGAAAAAAGGCAAAAGGAGAGUCUGUGGACCUGACCUUUUGUCAGCAUUGAUUCUCCGUGAUAUCACGAAUAAAAUCUCUUUGUCUCGAAGUCUGGGCCUUUGGUGCAUGAUUUAAUCUAAUCUCUUCGACAGUGAGAUCUCAAUGUAAGGGGCAUCAAGGGAAAUCCACAGUUUCUCUCCUAACAUCAGGACACUUCUGCAAAAGAAGAAUCACUCUGAGAAUGUGAGAAAAAAAAUGCUGACCUCACAAAAAAGCUGUCAGGAAAUCUGGAAAGUGUGCUGAAGAGUUUCACUAAUAUCGCUGGGAUCCUUGGGCACAUUUCAUCUCACUAUGGAGGGAUUAUUGUAUUGAGUGAAAAAAAUGCUUUGAAGAGGUUGGUUACCUUUUCCAAUAGGCUCUCCUUCAGUUCAUUGAACGCAAUGACACCCAGCCAAAAGGGAAUCGAACAGUAGACAAAGAAUGCUGGAGAUCACAGCGGGUCAGGCAGCAUCCAUUAAGAGAAAGCAAGCUGAACAUUUCGAAUCUAUAUGAUUCUUCAUCAGAACAAGUUUUUUUUUAAAUGGGAGUGAGUAACUGAACUCUCAUUUGCCCUUUCCAGCAACCAUUACCCCAACAUGUCAGCUGGGCCAAAUUGUCUCCAAACUGUCUCCCAUAGUAACUCAAUUAAUGCAGCCUGCAACCUGCCCUCAACAAGUUUGCAUAUCCAAUAGUUAUUGUUUGAUUUGAUUUGAUUUAUUGUCAUCUCAUGUACCUAAGUACAGUGAAAAGCUUUGUUUGCGAGUAGUACAAGCAGAUCAUAGUAAACAAGGACAUACAUAUCACAGGGUGCUUGGACAGAAUAAGGCAUACAGGGUACAUGGCACAGAAGGUACGUGAAGCAAGAUCAACAUUAGCAAGAUUUACAUUAUUGCUAAUUAAAGUUAACAAGCCACAUGGAUUAAGACUUUCCACAGCAGGAGCUGCAGGCUUCUUCUAAUUGUCACCGAGAUGAUUAUGACAAAUCACCUAAAUGAUUAUCUUGUUUUGCAUUAAAGUAAUUAUCUUUAUCACAUUGA
Rhincodon typus (whale shark) is the source of this 1220-nucleotide long non-coding RNA. RefSeq lists it as uncharacterized. The transcript has 3 exons. NCBI's taxonomy places the organism in Eukaryota, Metazoa, Chordata, Chondrichthyes, Orectolobiformes, Rhincodontidae. The record is from RefSeq and is a predicted model, not a curated record.